This 253-nucleotide ribosomal RNA is filed under the name uncultured Akkermansia sp. RNAcentral describes it as "partial 16S ribosomal RNA". It matches the Rfam family "Bacterial small subunit ribosomal RNA", at positions 524 to 776 of the family's 1533-position model. Lineage: Bacteria; Pseudomonadati; Verrucomicrobiota; Verrucomicrobiia; Verrucomicrobiales; Akkermansiaceae. The record is from RNAcentral.
UACAGAGGUCUCAAGCGUUGUUCGGAAUCACUGGGCGUAAAGCGUGCGUAGGCUGUUUCGUAAGUCGCGUGUGAAAGGCGCGGGCUCAACCCGCGGACGGCACAUGAUACUGCGAGACUAGAGUAAUGGAGGGGGAACCGGAAUUCUCGGUGUAGCAGUGAAAUGCGUAGAUAUACGGAGGAACAUCGGUGGCGUAAGCGCUUUACUGGGCCGUAAUUGACGCUGAGGAACGCAAGCCAGGGUAGCAAAUGGG